CAAGUGUGAGGUAAGGGCGUUUGGUGAAUGCCUUGGCAUACAGAGGCGAUGAAGGACGUGGCACGCUGCGAUAAGCGUUGGGGAGCUGUGAGCAAGCUUUGAUCCAACGAUUUCCGAAUGGGGAAACCCGG
This 131-nucleotide ribosomal RNA is filed under the name uncultured bacterium. Its description in RNAcentral is "partial 23S ribosomal RNA". It matches the Rfam family "Bacterial large subunit ribosomal RNA", at positions 1 to 131 of the family's 2925-position model. The record is from RNAcentral.